GGAGGUGGGAGGGGCCCGGUGGCUCCCGCGGCCUUCAAAGCCGUUGUGUCGCGCUGUCGCGUGAUGUGUGGGUUCGACCCCCAUGCGCCUCCGCCA
RNAcentral lists this transfer RNA (96 nucleotides) under Candidatus Omnitrophota bacterium. RNAcentral's name for it is "Candidatus Omnitrophica bacterium tRNA-Sec". It matches the Rfam family "Selenocysteine transfer RNA". Lineage: Bacteria; Pseudomonadati; Candidatus Omnitrophota. The record is from RNAcentral.